AAUGAACGUUGGCGGCGUGCUUAACACAUGCAAGUCGAGCGAGAAAAGCUUUCGGGCUUAGUAAAGCGGCGGACGGGUGAGUAACGCGUGGGAAUCUGCCCUUUAGUGAAGGAUACCCUCGAGAAAUUGAGGUUAAUACUGCAUUCGCCCCGUAAGGGGGAAAGAUGGCCUCUUUGCUGUCGCUGAAGGAUGAGCCUGCGUACUAUUAGCUAGUUGGUGGGGUAAAGGCCUACCAAGGCGAUGAUGGUUAACCGGCCUGAGAGGGUGUUCGGUCACAUUGGAACUGAGACACGGUCCAAACUCCUACGGGAGGCAG
This 316-nucleotide ribosomal RNA is filed under the name uncultured bacterium. Its description in RNAcentral is "bacterial SSU rRNA". It matches the Rfam family "Bacterial small subunit ribosomal RNA", at positions 29 to 351 of the family's 1533-position model. The record is from RNAcentral.